AUUGAACGCUGGCGGCAGGCCUAACACAUGCAAGUCGAGCGGAGCGGCGGACGGGUGAGUAAUGCCUAGGAAUCUGCCUGGUAGUGGGGGAUAACGUCCGGAAACGGGCGCUAAUACCGCAUACUAUCAGAUGAGCCUAGGUCGGAUUAGCUAGUUGGUGGGGUAAAGGCCUACCAAGGCGACGAUCCGUAACUGGUCUGAGAGGAUGAUCAGUCACACUGGAACUGAGAAACGGGCAAGACGCCGACAGGAGGCAGCAGUGGGGAAUAGUGGAUAAUAGGCGAAAGCCUGAACCAGCCAUGCCGCGGGUGGGAAGAAGGGAUUCGGAUUGUAAAGCACUUUAAUUGAGGAGGCGUUACCAACAGAAUAAGCACCGGCUAACUUCGUGCCAGCAGACGCGGUAAUUC
RNAcentral lists this ribosomal RNA (407 nucleotides) under uncultured bacterium. RNAcentral describes it as "partial 16S ribosomal RNA". It matches the Rfam family "Bacterial small subunit ribosomal RNA", at positions 29 to 526 of the family's 1533-position model. The record is from RNAcentral.